GUAAACUUGUAUACAUGCCAUUUAACACACAAAUCGUGAGCAUUAGCUCAGCUAACAUAACAUUACAUAAUGACAGAGCUUCAAGAAAGUAAGCUCAAGAAGAAGAAAUAUUUUCAUAUUAUUAGCAAGUCAUAGUAACACGAGAUCAACUCAUACAGAUGACAUGGUUCAUGGAUGAGCAACUAUACAUCUGUCCACGACGAGGUACAUUAUUUAGUGGUUAGCUAGUGGACAUAAAGUAUACGUCAAUUUGUAUAUCUCAGAGUCUGAGAUGGUGUUUUCAUAUUGAACUCCUACCUGAAACCUGGCACUGAGACAGCCACAAAUCUAUAUGUUCAACAAUCUUUUCCCUUACUUUACGAACUGCAUCAGGGGAACUGCAGUUUUUAGCAUCACCUUCAGGUACUAAAGGAGACUGAGGGCAGCCCCGCAUGUCGGUUCCAUGGCCACAGUUAUGGCAAGAGAUUAUGUAAGAAGGCAACUCUGGGGAAGAAGUCUGUUUGGAAGCAUGUCGCCAGGGGUCCUGUGAUCCAUUGGUGAAGACAAUCUUUGACCCAGCAAUUUUGGUGCCCCCAUAGUACAAGUUAGUCGCAUCGACAUCAGGAUAGAUACUGGCUCCAAAGACAUUCCUGCACAGGUCCAAAUGGUAUCUGGUAUCAACUUUAGAAGAGCGAAUACUAUCAUUCAAGGGUGCAACCUGAAAAUAUGCAACUUCUGUGCAAACCUGGAACCACCACAAGCGGUCAGAAGUAUCGCCAUUUACAGCAGUAUUCUUCAGAUUUUCCUGAUCGUAGGUUUUGACGCUGACCCCAAAUGUCUUAACAUAAUAAUCCUUUACAUAGGUGGCAUAUGCAUUCACUAAAUCUUCCCCGGAUUUCUUUGCUUCAAGUAGUGGGAUGCAUAGUCUGUCUGGACUUCCAUAUUGAAAAGCUGUAACUGCAGCAUCUGCCACAAAGUACAGGAAGUCACUAUCAUUUCUUAGCUCAUCAGCCCCAAACAAUGCUUUAACGUCCUUGGGAUUUGAUGUAAGUUUUGCUUCUACUAGUUUGGUAAUUUCUUGCAAUGUUGCUUUACAUUCUGGACCAGCAGAUUCACCAACCUGCUUGUCAAACUCUGAGAAGCUGUAAACUGCUUGAACUACAGCAGAGCUUGCAAGGCUUCCACAAGUUAAGUGAGGAAACUUCAGGCGGAACCAUGCACUAAGGGCUCCGGAGUAAGAAACACCGAAGACGAACCAUGGGUUUCCAAUAUUGGAUCUGUUGAGCUUCACAUUCAAGGACUCCUGAUAGAAAUUCCUGAAAGCUGCUAAGUCAAAAAGUGCCUGUUUUGAUGACAAAUAUUUCAGAUUCCCAGUUGUUAAGGACUUGAAGGGUGAACUCUUCCCAUAAUACCGAUGCUCAAGAGUAACGAUAGCAGCUCCAAACUUCUUUGCUAAAACACUGAGGUAAUCGUUCGGUAUCCCACUGCAUGCAGAUUCUCCACAAAUUUUCAAAAAUAUCGGUCCAUCAGGAAUUCGGAAAUGGUCAAAAAACUCAUAGUACCUCUGUCCAAAUGUACGAUGAUCAUAGGGAGAAAAGUGAUCAAGAGUCUGAUUGAACCAGUGUUCUUCCUUGGUCAAAUACUUGUUUUCCGAAUUGAUUUGCUGAAGAAAAUAGUGAGAAUUUGAGAUUCCAUUUGAGAUUAUUAGCAAUUGUGAGAAGAAAGCAAUGAGUAGAGCUAACAUUGUUUGCUUCUGCUACAAAAGUCGCUUUGGGUGUCG
RNAcentral lists this unclassified non-coding RNA (1759 nucleotides) under Hevea brasiliensis (rubber tree). The record is from RNAcentral. Lineage: Eukaryota; Viridiplantae; Streptophyta; Magnoliopsida; Malpighiales; Euphorbiaceae.